RNAcentral lists this ribosomal RNA (502 nucleotides) under Amblyosyllis formosa. RNAcentral's name for it is "partial 16S ribosomal RNA". It matches the Rfam family "Bacterial large subunit ribosomal RNA", at positions 1802 to 2608 of the family's 2925-position model. The record is from RNAcentral. Lineage: Eukaryota; Metazoa; Annelida; Polychaeta; Phyllodocida; Syllidae.
GUUUAUCAAAAACAUUGCCUUUUGAAUAUCAAUAAAAGGUAAGCCCUGCCCAGUGAAGAAUUCAACGGCCGCGGUAUCCUGACCGUGCAAAGGUAGCAUAAUCAUUUGCCCCUUAAUUAGGGGCUGGAAUGAAGGGGUAAACUAAAUUUCCCUGUCUCCUGAAAAAUAAUAAAAAUUUACCUGUUAGUGAAGAGGCUAACAUUAUUCUAAAAGACAAGAAGACCCUAUAGAGCUUCCCGUAACCCUUAUUUAUAAGGCCUACCGGUUUUGUUGGGGCGACAAGGGAGAAAAAUUAACCUCCCUUUAACAACGGCCUAUAAGCCUAUUUCUCUACCCUUAAAUAAGGAUAAAAAAAAGCUACCUUAGGGAUAACAGGCUAAUUCUCCCUAAGAGUUCUAAUCGACGGGAGAGAUUGGCACCUCGAUGUUGGCUUAAGGUUCCUUUAUUGCGCAGAAGUAAUACUAGGUGGUUUGUUCAACCAUUAAAUCCUUACAUGAUCUGA